Molecule: long non-coding RNA, 831 nt
Filed under: Setaria viridis
Lineage: Eukaryota; Viridiplantae; Streptophyta; Magnoliopsida; Poales; Poaceae
Description: long non-coding RNA (SVIR_LNC001565)
Source: RNAcentral
GAAUUAAUAGCAAUUACUUAAUUACCAUGCUUGGUUCAAGAUACAUGUUAAUAUUUUAAAAGGGUCUACCCGAGCAGUUGUAAAGAAAAAUUAUGCGCUAUUCAAUUCUCGAACCGGUCGCUGUGUAUACCCGAGCAGCUCUAAACAAAAAUUAUGCGCUAUUGAAUUCUCAAACCUGCUGUUUACUAAGGAGGUGUUUGGUUCCACCCUGCUAAACUUUAGCUGCUAAAGUUUAGCACCUUUUAGCUGCUAAACUACCAAACACCCUUGCUAAAACUUGCUAAAGUUGAGUUGCUAAAGUUUAGCACUUUAGCAAGUUUUUGGUUGCUAAAACUUGCUAAAAGGUGGGCUGGACAACCUAUACCCCUCAUUUAUUGCUUGUCUCCCCCCCUGCACACCUUUAAUAAGGGUAGAUAGGUCUUUUUACAGCUCAUUAAAUGCCUUUUAGUAAGAGUAUCCAAACAGCUUUUGCUAAGGUUUAGCAACUAAAGUUUAGCAACUUUUAGCAACUAAAGUUUAGCAAGAGGAACCAAACAGGCCCUAACUCGCAAUUAAAUGGAGCCAGUCAUCUUCUCACACGUGUUUUGCAGGUUUCAUUUGUACAAUGUACUGAAUCUGUGAUUGUCUCUCCCACCCACCACUUACAUUGCCAUCCCGGCAUAACCUUUGGCUGGCUAUUAUUAUAUUCAUUUGCUUUCCAGCCAUUAUUGUUAUUGCCUCUCAUGCUCAGAUGUUUUGCAAGUAUGCAUGCCUCUCCCCUCUUCUCUGCAAAACCAUCACAUUUUCCCAGCUUGAUCUCUCUUCGUAUGCCAUCUCUUCACCUUCGCCACU